GAUGAACGCUGGCGGCGUGCCUAAUACAUGUAAGUCGAGCGAACAGACGAGGAGCUUGCUCCUCUGACGUUAGCGGCGGACGGGUGAUUAACACGUGGAUAACCUACCUAUAAGACUGGGAUAACUUCGGGAAACCGGAGCUAAUACCGGAUAAUAUAUUGAACCGCAUGGUUCAAUAGUGAAAGACGGUUUUGCUGUCCCUUAUAGAUGGAUCCCCGCCGCAUCCGCUAGUUGGUAAGGUAACGGCUUACCAAGGCGACGAUGCGUAGCCGACCUGAGAGGGUGACCGGCCACACGGGAACUGAGCAACGGUCCAGACUCCUACGGGAGGCAGCAGUAGGGAAUCGUCCGCAAUGGGCGCAAGCCUGACGGAGCACCGCCGAGUGAGUGAGGAAGGUCUUCGGAUCGUAAAACUCUGUUAUUAGGGAAGACCAAAUGUGUAAGUAAAUAUGCACGUCUUGACGGUACCUAAUCAGAAAGCCACGGCUAACUACGUG
Molecule: ribosomal RNA, 497 nt
Filed under: uncultured bacterium
Lineage: Bacteria
Description: partial 16S ribosomal RNA
Rfam family: Bacterial small subunit ribosomal RNA
Source: RNAcentral